This 95-nucleotide small RNA is filed under the name Dasypus novemcinctus (nine-banded armadillo). Its description in RNAcentral is "TUC338 (ENSDNOG00000035335.1)". The record is from RNAcentral. Lineage: Eukaryota; Metazoa; Chordata; Mammalia; Cingulata; Dasypodidae.
CAGGACAGUUAUAGCACAGGCAGUGACAGUGAGAGCUUUCCCCAUACCACCCCAUCCAUGUGCCUCAAUCUUGACCUGGAGGUACCACCUUUAGA